Molecule: ribosomal RNA, 1048 nt
Filed under: uncultured bacterium
Lineage: Bacteria
Description: bacterial SSU rRNA
Rfam family: Bacterial small subunit ribosomal RNA
Source: RNAcentral
AGGAAUAUUGGUCAAUGGCCGCGAGGCUGAACCAGCCAAGUAGCGUGCGGGAGGAAGGCCCUAUGGGUUGUAAACCGCUUUUAUACGGGAGUAAAGAGCUUCACGUGUGGAGCCUUGCAAGUACCGUAGGAAUAAGGACCGGCUAAUUCCGUGCCAGCAGCCGCGGCAAUACGGAAGGUCCGGGCGUUAUCCGGAUUUAUUGGGUUUAAAGGGAGCGCAGGCCGCCUGUCAAGCGUGUUGUGGAAAUGUAGGGGCCCAACCCCUGAGGUUGCAGCGCGAACUGGGGGGCUUGAAGUAGGCACAUCGCUGGUGGAACUCACUGUGAAGCGGAGAAAUACUUAGAUAGAUAGAAGAUACUCCGAUUGCGAAGUCAGCUGGCGGGGGCGCAACUAACGCUCGUGCUCGAAAGUGCGGGUAUCGAACAGGAUUAGAUACCCUGGUAGUCCGCACGGUAAAACGAUGGAUGCCCGCUAUGCGCGCUUAGUCGUGCGUGGCCAAGCGAAAGCGUUAAGCAUCCCACCUGGGGAGUACGCCGGCAACGGUGAAACUCAAAGGAAUUGACGGGGGCCCGCACAAGCGGAGGAACAUGUGGUUUAAUUCGAUGAUACGCGAGGAACCUUACCCGGGCUUGAAUUGCAGACGAACGACCAAGAGAUUGGAAGGCCCUCCGGGGCGUCUGUGAAGGUGCUGCAUGGUUGUCGUCAGCUCGUGCCGUGAGGUGUCGGCUUAAGUGCCAUAACGAGCGCAACCCCUUUCUCCAGUUGCCAUCAGGCGAUGCUGGGCACUCUGGAGACACUGCCACCGUAAGGUGUGAGGAAGGUGGGGAUGACGUCAAAUCAGCACGGCCCUUACGUCCGGGGCUACACACGUGUUACAAUGGGUGGUACAGAGAGUUGGUCGUUUGCAAAUGCGAUCUAAUCAUGAAAGCCAUCCUCAGUUCGGAUUGGGGUCUGCAACCCGACCCCAUGAAGCUGGAUUCGCUAGUAAUCGCGCAUCAGCCAUGGCGCGGUGAAUACGUUCCCGGGCCUUGCACUCACCGCCCGUCAAG